CCAAUAGCGUAUAUUAAAGUUGUUGCAGUUAAAAAGCUCGUAGUUGAAUUUCGAGAUCAGUACGCUGGUCGUGCCUUCGGUACUAUGCACUGGUGUCACUGGUUUCUCCCUUCUGAAGAACCGUAAUGCCAUUCAGUUGGUGUGGCGGGGAAUCAGGAUUGUUACUUUGAAAAAAUUAGAGUGUUUAAAGCAGGCUCGUGCUUGAAUACAUUAGCAUGGA
Molecule: ribosomal RNA, 220 nt
Filed under: uncultured Glomus
Lineage: Eukaryota; Fungi; Glomeromycota; Glomeromycetes; Glomerales; Glomeraceae
Description: partial small subunit ribosomal RNA
Rfam family: Eukaryotic small subunit ribosomal RNA
Source: RNAcentral